Molecule: long non-coding RNA, 445 nt
Organism: Cucumis melo (muskmelon)
Lineage: Eukaryota; Viridiplantae; Streptophyta; Magnoliopsida; Cucurbitales; Cucurbitaceae
Exons: 2
Source: RefSeq, a predicted model, not a curated record
AUAUAAACACCAAAGGAAAGAGGAUCUCAAGAGAUUAACACAAUGGGUUCUUAUAAGAAGCACUUAAUAUUUUUAGCAACUCUCUUGUAUCUCAUGCUUUUCCUUUCAACCUAUGGAGCAGCAAGAAUCUUGGAUCCAAAUGGAAAUAUGAAUAAGGUCCAAGAAAUAAAGAUGAUUGUAGUAGGACGAAUUGUACGACGAGAUUUGGCACAUGGAGGAAACUAUGGCCCAGGACUUCAGUGAGAUGAUGUUAUAAACUAAUUUUCUUCGAGUUUCUUUCUUUUUUAAUAACUAACUUGAAUGUAGCGUUCUGGUUUGAAACUUCUUCUUUCUUUUCAAGUACUAAUGAUUUUAAAGAAGAAAAAUAAUAAGCAUAUUAUGUAUAUAUACUAGAAUGGAUGAUUAGUACUUCUUUGUUUGUUUUGAAAUAUAUGAUGUUAAUUAA